Molecule: ribosomal RNA, 472 nt
Filed under: Ophiomorus latastii
Lineage: Eukaryota; Metazoa; Chordata; Lepidosauria; Squamata; Scincidae
Description: partial 12S ribosomal RNA
Source: RNAcentral
AUUAAACCCCAAAAACACAAAGUUUUGGUCCUAAACUUGCCGUUGUUUUUAACCAAAAUUACACAUGCAAGCCUCAGCAUACCAGUGAAAAUGCCCACACACUCCUAAACAGAUAAACGGAGCAGGCAUCAGGAACAUCAAACUUAGCCAAUGACGCCUUGCUACGCCACACCCACACGGGCCCACAGCAGUGAUUAACAUUAAGACAUAAGCGAAAGCUUGACUUAGUUAUGACUAAUAUGAACCGGUAAAUUUCGUGCCAGCCACCGCGGUUAUACGAAAGGUUCAAAACAACGGCCUUCGGCGUAAAACGUGACUAGACAAGUGUCCAAAAAAUUAAAGAGAAACCACCGUUAGGCCGUAAAACGCUACAGCGAACUGGAACCACACCAAUAAAAUGCCUUUAAACAAAAGACUAGUUUACCUCACGAAAGCUAAGGAACAAACUGGGAUUAGAUACCCCACUAUGCUU